This 450-nucleotide ribosomal RNA is filed under the name uncultured bacterium. Its description in RNAcentral is "bacterial SSU rRNA". It matches the Rfam family "Bacterial small subunit ribosomal RNA", at positions 328 to 793 of the family's 1533-position model. The record is from RNAcentral.
AAGCCAGACUCCUACGGGAGGCAGCAGUGGGGAAUAUUGCACAAUGGGGGGAACCCUGAUGCAGCGACGCCGCGUGGGUGAAGGAGCACCUCGGUGCGUAAAGCCCUAUCGGCAGGGAAGAAACAGACGGUACCUGACUAAGAAGCCCCGGCUAACUACGUGCCAGCAGCCGCGGGAAUACGUAGGGGGCAAGCGUUAUCCGGAUUCACUGGGUGUAAAGGGAGCGUAGACGGCGACGCAAGUCUGGAGUGAAAGCCCGGGGCCCAACCCCGGGACUGCUCUGGAAACUGCGGCGCUGGAGUACGGGAGGGGCAGGCGGAAUUCCUGGUGUAGCGGUGAAGUGCGUAGAUAUCAGGAGGAACACCGGCGGCGAAGGCGGCCUGCUGGACCGUGACUGACGUUGAGGCUCGAGAGCGUGGGGAGCAAACAGGAUUAGAUACCCCGGUAUAA